CAAUAGCGUAUAUUUAAGUUGCUGCAGUUAAAAAGCUCGUAGUUGGAUUUCGGGUGGGAAUGGCCGGUCCGCCGUUUCGGUGUGCACUUGCUACGCCCACCUUGCUGCCGGGGACGUGCUCUUGAGUUCACGCUCGGGACACGGAGUCGGCGAGGUUACUUUGAGUAAAUUAGAGUGUUCAAAGCAGGCCUACGCUCUGAAUACAUUAGCAUGGAAUAACACGAUAGGACUCUGGCCUAUCUUGUUGGUCUGUAGGACCGGAGUAAUGAUUAGGAGGGACAGUCGGGGGCAUUCGUAUUUCAUUGUCAGAGGUGAAAUUCUUGGAUUUAUGAAAGACGAACUACUGCGAAAGCAUUUGCCAAGGAUGUUUUCAUUAA
RNAcentral lists this ribosomal RNA (377 nucleotides) under uncultured eukaryote. Its description in RNAcentral is "partial 18S ribosomal RNA". It matches the Rfam family "Eukaryotic small subunit ribosomal RNA", at positions 592 to 976 of the family's 1831-position model. The record is from RNAcentral.